RNAcentral lists this ribosomal RNA (752 nucleotides) under Pseudomonas sp. LZX24. RNAcentral's name for it is "partial 16S ribosomal RNA". It matches the Rfam family "Bacterial small subunit ribosomal RNA", at positions 65 to 788 of the family's 1533-position model. The record is from RNAcentral. Lineage: Bacteria; Pseudomonadati; Pseudomonadota; Gammaproteobacteria; Pseudomonadales; Pseudomonadaceae.
AGCGGAUGAGUGGAGCUUGCUCCAUGAUUCAGCGGCGGACGGGUGAGUAAUGCCUAGGAAUCUGCCUGGUAGUGGGGGACAACGUUUCGAAAGGAACGCUAAUACCGCAUACGUCCUACGGGAGAAAGUGGGGGAUCUUCGGACCUCACGCUAUCAGAUGAGCCUAGGUCGGAUUAGCUAGUUGGUGAGGUAAAGGCUCACCAAGGCGACGAUCCGUAACUGGUCUGAGAGGAUGAUCAGUCACACUGGAACUGAGACACGGUCCAGACUCCUACGGGAGGCAGCAGUGGGGAAUAUUGGACAAUGGGCGAAAGCCUGAUCCAGCCAUGCCGCGUGUGUGAAGAAGGUCUUCGGAUUGUAAAGCACUUUAAGUUGGGAGGAAGGGCAGUAAGUUAAUACCUUGCUGUUUUGACGUUACCAACAGAAUAAGCACCGGCUAACUUCGUGCCAGCAGCCGCGGUAAUACGAAGGGUGCAAGCGUUAAUCGGAAUUACUGGGCGUAAAGCGCGCGUAGGUGGUUCGUUAAGUUGGAUGUGAAAGCCCCGGGCUCAACCUGGGAAACUGCAUCCAAAACUGGNNGAGCUAGAGUAUUGGCCAAANGGUGGGUGGAAUUUCCUGUGUAACNGUGNAAUGCGUAANAAUNUNNGGAAAGGGAACNCCNGUUGGCCGAAGGCNACCCCCNUGGGGCCUAAANACUGGAACCUGNANGUGNCGAAAAGCCNUGNGGGGAGCAAANNAGGAUUAANAUCCCC